CCUACGGGAGGCAGCAGUGGGGAAUUUUGGACAAUGGGCGCAAGCCUGAUCCAGCAAUGCCGCGUGCAGGAUGAAGGCCUUCGGGUUGUAAACUGCUUUUGUACGGAGCGAAACGGUCUGCUUUAAUACAGUAGGCUAAUGACGGUACCGUAAGAAUAAGCACCGGCUAACUACGUGCCAGCAGCCGCGGUAAUACGUAGGGUGCUAGCGUUAAUCGGAAUUACUGGGCGUAAAGCGUGCGCAGGCGGUUAUAUAAGACAGAUGUGAAAUCCCCGGGCUCAACCUGGGACCUGCAUUUGUGACUGUAUAGCUAGAGUACGGUAGAGGGGGAUGGAAUUCCGCGUGUAGCAGUGAAAUGCGUAGAUAUGCGGAGGAACACCGAUGGCGAAGGCAAUCCCCUGGACCUGUACUGACGCUCAUGCACGAAAGCGUGGGGAGCAAACAGGAUUAGAUACCCUGGUAGUCCACGCCCUAAACGAUGUCAACUGGUUGUUGGGUCUUCACUGACUCAGUAACGAAGCUAACGCGUGAAGUUGACCGCCUGGGGAAUCGGCCGCAAGGUUGAAACGUCAAAUGAAAUUGACGGCUGGAGAGNGCGAGNGACGACGAGGGAGAGG
This 617-nucleotide ribosomal RNA is filed under the name uncultured bacterium. Its description in RNAcentral is "bacterial SSU rRNA". It matches the Rfam family "Bacterial small subunit ribosomal RNA", at positions 338 to 946 of the family's 1533-position model. The record is from RNAcentral.